GCCGGGCGCGGUGGCGGGCGCCUAUAAUCCCAGCUACUCAGGAGGCUGAGGCAGGAGAAUCGCUUGAACCCAGGAGGCAGAGUUUGCAGUGAGCCGAGAUCACGCCACUGCACUCCAGCCUGGGCAACAGAGCGAGACUCUGUCUCAA
RNAcentral lists this non-coding RNA (148 nucleotides) under Gorilla gorilla gorilla (western lowland gorilla). The record is from Rfam by way of RNAcentral. Lineage: Eukaryota; Metazoa; Chordata; Mammalia; Primates; Hominidae.